This 379-nucleotide long non-coding RNA is filed under the name Phascolarctos cinereus (koala). Its description in RNAcentral is "lncRNA (ENSPCIG00000001218.2)". Lineage: Eukaryota; Metazoa; Chordata; Mammalia; Diprotodontia; Phascolarctidae. The record is from RNAcentral.
UGAGGGUGGAGACAGCACUGUUUGUUAAACUGGUUAAGGUGGCUCAGUUUAAAUUUCAUGUGAUUCUGAAUGGAGGAGUAGAAAGUAUGAUGUGAAGUUACAUCCAGCUGAAAGUAAAGUAUUCCGGUUUGGUGGAGCUAGUGGUAGCCGAGCCCCCAGCUCGUUUUUUUUAAUAUUGCUUGUCUUUUCCUAAUUAAGGAGAGCCUGCUGAGAGAGUUUCCGACAAUCACAAUGGGGAACGAGAACAGCACCUCUGACAACCAGUCAGAGGAUGCUGGCUCAAAUAACAUCAUCCUGCUGCCACCAAACCCGGGUGUACCACAGGUACUGGAAAAUACAAUUGAUAUGCAUGGCUUGCAUUUCAACCAUUUGAAAGCAU